This 450-nucleotide ribosomal RNA is filed under the name Bacillus anthracis (anthrax bacterium). RNAcentral's name for it is "bacterial SSU rRNA". It matches the Rfam family "Bacterial small subunit ribosomal RNA", at positions 73 to 506 of the family's 1533-position model. Lineage: Bacteria; Bacillati; Bacillota; Bacilli; Caryophanales; Bacillaceae. The record is from RNAcentral.
UAAGAGCUUGCUCUUAUGAAGUUAGCGGCGGACGGGUGAGUAACACGUGGGUAACCUGCCCAUAAGACUGGGAUAACUCCGGGAAACCGGGGCUAAUACCGGAUAACAUUUUGAACCGCAUGGUUCGAAAUUGAAAGGCGGCUUCGGCUGUCACUUAUGGAUGGACCCGCGUCGCAUUAGCUAGUUGGUGAGGUAACGGCUCACCAAGGCAACGAUGCGUAGCCGACCUGAGAGGGUGAUCGGCCACACUGGGACUGAGACACGGCCCAGACUCCUACGGGAGGCAGCAGUAGGGAAUCUUCCGCAAUGGACGAAAGUCUGACGGAGCAACGCCGCGUGAGUGAUGAAGGCUUUCGGGUCGUAAAACUCUGUUGUUAGGGAAGAACAAGUGCUAGUUGAAUAAGCUGGCACCUUGACGGUACCUAACCAGAAAGCCACGGCUAACUACUG